This is an RNA transcript of Andrographis paniculata, 1480 nucleotides long. RefSeq lists it as uncharacterized. The transcript is spliced from 5 exons. NCBI's taxonomy places the organism in Eukaryota, Viridiplantae, Streptophyta, Magnoliopsida, Lamiales, Acanthaceae. The record is from RefSeq and is a predicted model, not a curated record.
UAAACCCCUAAACCCUCAAUGCGCGAUCCUCCAAUGGCGGAAGCUGAGCAGCAUUUCCUCCUCUCCUCAAGACCCAAAGCGGCAAAGCCCUCUGAAUUGAAGAGAAAUUCCCCGAAAGACGAUGCUUAAAGCAGUCUGUGGCCGUCAUCUCGACGCGCAUGUCAAAAUUCGAAGUCCCGGCCGCUGGACUCCUAAUCCUUCGGAUUCGUUCGCAUUUUCGCUUACUCCAUUCUUCCGACGGCGGAAAUUUUCGUUUUCAGCUCAAUCCGUUGAAGAAAUUGAGAUCAACAGCCGGGAAAACGCACAGCCGCUGAGUGCUUUCUUCACAGGAGAGGUCGGGCUUUCGAAGAAAACAGGAGAGACUGCGGUUAAAUUAGAAGGCGAUUGUGCAAAGUUAAAGGGUAAUUCGAGUGUGAAAAUUGGGCCUCGGCAGAGCUUGUCAGCGUUGUUCUCCAAAGGGAAGAAGGAGAAGGAGAAGGAGAAGGAGAAAGAAGUGAAAUUCGUGGAUCCAGUGGUUCACUCGUUGGUUUCUCCUGAUAUGCAACUGUUUGCCCGACAUUUGUACCUGAGAGGAUACUUGAAGGGUGCGAAUUUCAUCGGAAAACAAGGAUUUGAUUCGACUAUCUUCCAGGACAAUUACGCCAUAGGUUUCUUGAAGUAUGCUGCAGUGAACUUUGGAGAAGAUCACGCGGAGAUUGCCAAAUGGUUAUCCGCCAGCGAACUGAAGAAGAUAGCUCUCUUUGGUUGCCCAACCCUUUAUCGAAAAAAUGUUAAUGCAGCUAAAUAUUUGCGCUUGUUCUUUAACAUCGAGGAACAUGAGGUUUGUCAAAAAUGCACAUUGAGAAACACGUGCAAGCAUGCAGACAAGAAGCCUCGAGGUGAUUCCAGCAAAUUCAACUUGGCUACCGUGAACCGCAUCCUCACUGCCUAUGCUUUGGGCCCAAUUCCUCAAGAACUGGUAGUGUCUAAAGAAAUUAGGGAGUCAAUAAGUCGAUUACUGAAGGAGAUUAUAAAUCUCAGUCAAAAGGAUCAUGAGGGUGCGCGAUAACCCAUGCACUUAUCAGCAUAUGGUGAGGGGAACAAGGAAGGAGAGAAGUUUCACCAUGAAUCUGUUCAUUCUGUAUAUGGGAAUCAAUCCUAGAAAGAAUCUGCAUCCGCAUUGGAAGGUUCAGCCUGCAAAGAGAUGUCGGGAGUUUGAAUUCGUGACUUUACGGUCGCAACUCACAAGUUUACCCUCACGCACUACUAAACGAUCUCUCGUGUGUUGUGCUUAUUGUGCGUGGGGGGUUCUUAUUUUGUCGAUAAGGUAUCAUGGACGACUACUUGUGCCAUUAGACAAACUAAAAUGGAGGAUUGAAUUUUGAGUUGAGGUUUAAAUAGUAAAAAUUUUGAGUUUAAUAGCUGUACGAUGUCAUAUAAAUUGAUAUUGAUGUGAUGUUUGAAUGUAAAAUUAAUUUUUAAUAUCUUAUAGAAAAUGGAA